AAAAGUGUAAAACGGGCUGCUCAGCACUCCGGAAAACCGUGUUAUCACCAGGGAUGGUCUGAGGACUGACAGAUUUGAGUAUGACAUCAUUGCCC
Caenorhabditis elegans is the source of this 95-nucleotide non-coding RNA. The record is from RefSeq. Lineage: Eukaryota; Metazoa; Nematoda; Chromadorea; Rhabditida; Rhabditidae.